GGGACACGUGGUAUCCUGUCUGAAUAUGGGGGGACCAUCCUCCAAGGCUAAAUACUCCUGACUGACCGAUAGUGAACCAGUACCGUGAGGGAAAGGCGAAAAGAACCCCGGCGAGGGGAGUGAAAAAGAACCUGAAACCGUGUACGUACAAGCAGUGGGAGCACGCUUAGGCGUGUGACUGCGUACCUUUUGUAUAAUGGGUCAGCGACUUAUAUUCUGUAGCAAGGUUAACCGAAUAGGGGAGCCGAAGGGAAACCGAGUCUUAACUGGGCGUUAAGUUGCAGGGUAUAGACCCGAAACCCGGUGAUCUAGCCAUGGGCAGGUUGAAGGUUGGGUAACACUAACUGGAGGACCGAACCGACUAAUGUUGAAAAAUUAGCGGAUGACUUGUGGCUGGGGGUGAAAGGCCAAUCAAACCGGGAGAUAGCUGGUUCUCCCCGAAAGCUAUUUAGGUAGCGCCUCGUGAAUUCAUCUCCGGGGGUAGAGCACUGUUUCGGCAAGGGGGUCAUCCCGACUUACCAACCCGAUGCAAACUGCGAAUACCGGAGAAUGUUAUCACGGGAGACACACGGCGGGUGCUAACGUCCGUCGUGAAGAGGGAAACAACCCAGACCGCCAGCUAAGGUCCCAAAGUCAUGGUUAAGUGGGAAACGAUGUGGGAAGGCCCAGACAGCCAGGAUGUUGGCUUAGAAGCAGCCAUCAUUUAAAGAAAGCGUAAUAGCUCACUGGUCGAGUCGGCCUGCGCGGAAGAUGUAACGGGGCUAAACCAUGCACCGAAGCUGCGGCAGCGACGCUGAUGCGUUGUUGGGUAGGGGAGCGUUCUGUAAGCCUGCGAAGGUGUGCUGUGAGGCAUGCUGGAGGUAUCAGAAGUGCGAAUGCUGACAUAAGUAACGAUAAAGCGGGUGAAAAGCCCGCUCGCCGGAAGACCAAGGGUUCCUGUCCAACGUUAAUCGGGGCAGGGUGAGUCGACCCCUAAGGCGAGGCCGAAAGGCGUAGUCGAUGGGAAACAGGUUAAUAUUCCUGUACUUGGUGUUACUGCGAAGGGGGGACGGAGAAGGCUAUGUUGGCCGGGCGACGGUUGUCCCGGUUUAAGCGUGUAGGCUGGUUUUCCAGGCAAAUCCGGAAAAUCAAGGCUGAGGCGUGAUGACGAGGCACUACGGUGCUGAAGCAACAAAUGCCCUGCUUCCAGGAAAAGCCUCUAAGCAUCAGGUAACAUCAAAUCGUACCCCAAACCGACACAGGUGGUCAGGUAGAGAAUACCAAGGCGCUUGAGAGAACUCGGGUGAAGGAACUAGGCAAAAUGGUGCCGUAACUUCGGGAGAAGGCACGCUGAUAUGUAGGUGAAGCGACUUGCUC
RNAcentral lists this ribosomal RNA (1356 nucleotides) under Escherichia coli. Its description in RNAcentral is "partial 23S ribosomal RNA". It matches the Rfam family "Bacterial large subunit ribosomal RNA", at positions 419 to 1774 of the family's 2925-position model. The record is from RNAcentral. Lineage: Bacteria; Pseudomonadati; Pseudomonadota; Gammaproteobacteria; Enterobacterales; Enterobacteriaceae.